Molecule: long non-coding RNA, 799 nt
Organism: Pezoporus flaviventris
Lineage: Eukaryota; Metazoa; Chordata; Aves; Psittaciformes; Psittacidae
Exons: 3
Source: RefSeq, a predicted model, not a curated record
GCCUCUUAGCGUCUGGUGAUAACAAUUCCCCAGUGCCUCUGCCUCUCUGUCAUCGGCUGCACUUGUGACAGGGGAUCCCUCCUUCUACUUCUAACACCUCGGCCUGACCAUCUGCACUGCAGAAAGCCAUUUGUCUGACUGCCUUUUGAUUCAAACCCCAUAAGCACUACCCACAGUAGCCUAUAGAGCAACGAGUCGAUGUCUGAGCUCUCCAGCGCUUGGACCAAAAAUGUCAUAAGUAUUUCUCUGAUUCAACUUGAAAUGGAAAACAGCUUCCUUUGAUCUGAAACUCCAUUCUUCUGCAAAUACACACUUUUUAAAAGAAAAAACAGGCCUACAGAGAAGUAGCUAAUGUGUUUUUACAGCUGUACCUCUUAAAGGACCCAUUCUCAGCCCAAGUAUGAUGCAGCACUCAAUGAAGUUAACACAAAGCCACCAAAUUAAAUGGCUCUUGGACAAGCUAUGAAACUCCCUGCAGAUAGCAUAUAACAGGAUUUCAGAAAUAAAAUGUAGCCAAUUGUAAAUCAUGGCAAAUCAUAAAAUCAAAACAAAAUACGUUCUUGUGUUUUGUCACACUACUGUUUUGCUACCUAGUUUCUGACCAGUCUCAGAGAAGCAGACUGGGUGUUAGGUGUUGGGAAGAGCUGGGCUGUAACUCCACUGCUUAUCCAGGUGUGCUGGGAGGUGGAUAUUCAACUGUCAUGGCUAUCUGUGACAGUUACAGCUUUCUUAAAUACCCUCCUUGAAGGAAACCAUGCACACGGUCCUGGUGUUCUCAGCAAGAAAGAGCACCACCACC